This 301-nucleotide ribosomal RNA is filed under the name uncultured bacterium. Its description in RNAcentral is "partial 16S ribosomal RNA". It matches the Rfam family "Bacterial small subunit ribosomal RNA", at positions 509 to 808 of the family's 1533-position model. The record is from RNAcentral.
CAGUCGCCGCGGUAAUACGUAUGUCACAAGCGUUAUCCGGAUUUAUUGGGCGUAAAGCGCGUCUAGGUGGUUAUGUAAGUCUGAUGUGAAAAUGCAGGGCUCAACUCUGUAUUGCGUUGGAAACUGUGUAACUAGAGUACUGGAGAGGUAAGCGGAACUACAAGUGUAGAGGUGAAAUUCGUAGAUAUUUGUAGGAAUGCCGAUGGGGAAGCCAGCUUACUGGACAGAUACUGACGCUAAAGCGCGAAAGCGUGGGUAGCAAACAGGAUUAGAUACCCGUGUAGUCCCUGUCUCUUAUACA